Molecule: long non-coding RNA, 4521 nt
Organism: Lepus europaeus (European hare)
Lineage: Eukaryota; Metazoa; Chordata; Mammalia; Lagomorpha; Leporidae
Exons: 3
Source: RefSeq, a predicted model, not a curated record
CUUAUCGAGUACCAAGUAGAUGGCAGGCCUUCCACAGUGGCAGGGGACACGAGGCCCAGACUCUGUGUGAAAGAUGUUUCCUGUGAGCUGGAGAGGCAGAUAGCUCAGCGGACUCCCAUUUCGGCAUGGCCAAGAACCGUCCUCAGACAAAUCUUGUACUUUUUACUCCUGAGUUCAAGGUCCCGGCUGUGGUUGUCGUCUUCCUGGCAGACGUGUUUCCCUUGCACUGUUUAUGUCAGAUGCCCUCCGUGUACCAGGGAGCUGACACCCGGCACCUGGAUCCGCAGCCGCUCUUCUCUCAGCCCCCGCAAUCGAAGGAGCCGAAGCUGCAUCCCAGGAAAGUCCCUCGGAUCUCUGUCAUUCCCAGAUUGGCCUGACCCAAGGCAGAGCUGGGAAAGACAGCAGCCACCUUCCUGUUCUCACCGGGCGAUCUCCGAGUCCAGAGAGGAGGGUUCUUGGCCUGGCUCUGACGGUCUGUGUGCACAUGGAUGGAUGGCUAAGACUUCUGUAUUUCACUUUGCGUUUCGGUUUGCCGAAGAGGGGGGGCAGUGGGCUCUGCUACACAGAGGAUUCAGCAGGAUCAGAGAUAUGGAUUUUCUUUGCUGCUGACAUUUCAAUGAUGAGAAUGAGAACACCAGUGGGAGGGACUGUGCGGUGGUGGUGGUGGGGGAGCUGGAGUUGAGGCAGAGCAGGGAAGUGGCCCUGGGUUCCCCUCACUGAGGACAGAGCUCACAGUCAUCGUGGCUGUGACAUUUUCCCCACUCCUGUUUCAGGUAGUGGGAACCCCGCAUCCCCAGGGAAAGCAUCACUUUUUGGGGGAUACCCUCCCUGUCUGCCCAGGAAGGCCAACUUCCUGUUACAGCCUUCUCCAGCUACCUGUAUUUUUCUAAACAGGUAACACCAUAGUAACAAUUGGUGUGGCCUGGCCGUGUCUCCCCAGCAGAAGUCAGCACUGGCCCUUCUUCAGAGGCCGGGGUGGGGGGGCCUGGCUCAGAGGCACUCAGUAGCAGUUUUGCUGCCAUCUUGUAGGUUCUCUGAGUGCCAGCUGCCUCACCAGGCUCCUGGGGGAGCCCAGAAGAUAGAAGACGUGGCCUGCAGGUGUGAGGGGCUGGGAUGAAUGGACUGCUCUGGGAAGAGCUGCAGCUCAGACUGCAGGAGUGGAAUGCCCUGACCAAGACCGUGCAGCAUGACCUUUGGCCUCCAGGGAAUGGAGGAAGUGGUGUGGGUCAAUCUGGAACUCCAGAGGCUAGGGGCACUGCUCACUCUUUCUUUCUUCCUUUAUUUGUUUAUUUAUUUAUUUGAAAGGCAGAGUAUCAGAGAUAGACGGAGAGAGAGACUGGCCUUCCACUUGCUGGUUCACUGGCUGGAACAGCCAGUGCUGAAACAGACCAAAGCCAGCAGCCUAGAACUCCAUCCGGGUCUCCCAUGUGGGUGGCAAGGGCCCAAGCACUUGGGCCAUCACUGCCGUAUCCCAGGCGUACUAGCAGGGAGCUGGAACAGAAGCGGAGCAGCCAGGAUUCCAACCUGCACUCCCAUAUGGGAUGUUGCUGACAUUUGUGGUAGCUUCAUCCACUGUCGGAGCGCUGGCCCCACGCACUCCCUCUUGGGGCCUGUAGCUGCAGCUCAGGAACCAGUGCUGAAGUCAGCCUCUGCCACCUCCCACCUGCCCCUUUGCUUCCAUCUCCUGGCGCUUGCACACUCUCCUCCCUACACCUGCCAUGGGGAGCUCACGCUUUCCUCAACAGCCUGAGUCUCCCUCUGCACGGGUCGUGCCCUCUCUUAACGCACAUCCCCUUUUCUACCAGGAAAAUGCAAGACUCAACUGAGCUGCACGUUCUUCCUCCUGGGAAGCCUUCCAGGCCCCUGCUUGGAGCCCUGCAGCCCCUGGACAGCCUUCUCUCUACGCAGUGGUGUACUGACCACACUCAGACGCUGUGCUGCUUUUCCUUUGUUCCCCUCGGCCAUAACCAACCAGAAGCUUCUGGAAGGCAGGGAUCCACUCAGUUCCUCUCUGUGGCCCCAGUGUCCAGCAGGGCCCGGCUCCAAGGAGAGAUCUUGCAUAACCUGGCACCCGGGUUCUGGGCAGGAGACGCUAUUCUGUUGUAUCUCAAAUGAUCAUCCUGGUUUAGGCAACGUUUGAGAGGAAGUUCAAGGACAGGGCUGAUCUUAUUUAUUUACCUUCCAGGAAAUGGAGGCCCACGAAGAGGUAGGGAUUUGCCCAAGGUCCUACAGCACGUCAGCCACCAGGGGUCCUGAUGCCUGGUCCCCAGCACAUCAAGCCAGGGCCAAGAGGCUACAGGAGCCCAGGCCCUGCCGCUGCUCACUGCACCCUGGUUCAGUCCCUCUGGCCGGGCUCUCAGCCAACAGCAGCAUGAGGCUCAGGCUGCCCCUGCCAAAGGUUGUGCUGUCAGCAGUCUGGGGGAGGUGACCAGGCCACUUCCCUGUGGGCAGCUGAGACCCAGCAAGACUUGGAGCAGCGCCUCCACGGGGUCAUGGGCUCUGGGGACAGUCUCCAGACAGACAGCGCCCUUCUUGACAACCGGAUUAGAUAGAACCUGAUUAGACUUGAGGUUAACAGUCCGGAGUGCAUGGAGCAGAGCCCAGCAUGGGCUAUGUGCUCAAUGAACAGGCAUCCGCAUAGCACCGUUACUACUACUAUGAAGCAGAGGAAAGCCCACACAGUUCAGUGGCUAAACGCACUGACCCUGAUGCGUGUCAAUAAGACACAGUCAGGCUGCAUCACUUACCAAGUUACGCACGUUUUUAAAAUCUUCUUUUAAAAAAGAUUUAUUUUAUUUACCUGAAAGGCAGAGUUAUAGAGAGAGAGGGAGAGAGACAGAGAGAUCUGCCAUCUGCCAGGUCACUCCCCAAAUGGCUGCAACAGUCAGAACUGGAUCAGGCCAAAGCCAGGAGCCAGGAGUUCCACCCAGGUGUCCUACAUGGGUGCAGGGGCUCGAGUACUUGGACCAUCUUUUGCUGCCUUUAUAGGUGCAUUUGCAGGGAGCUCGAUCAGAAGUGGAGUAGACAGGGCCGGCAUGUGGAAUGCAGACAGUGGCUUAACUCGCUAUGCCACAGCGCCGGCCCCUGUUUUUGUAUCUUUAAAAAGAGGGAGCAUUUAGCACAGUGGUUAAGGUGCCAGUGUCCCAAAUAGGAGUAGGAGUACCUGGGUUCAAUUCCCAGCUCCAGCUCCUAAUUCCAGCUUCCUGCUGGUGCAAACCCUGGGAGGCAGCGGUGCUGGCUCAAGUGGGUCCUUGCCACCCAUUUGGGUGACCUGGAUUGAGCUCCUUACUCCCGGCUUUGGCUUGGCCCAGCCCUUGCUGAUGCACACAUUUAGGGAGUAAGCCAGUAAACAGGAGCUCUCUCCCUGUGCCUCUCACUGCCUUUCACAUAAAUACGUAAAUUUUUAUAAAGGGGCGGGCAUUUGGCGCAUCAAUUAGGACACUGUUUGGGAUGCAUCCCACAUUGGAAUCUCCAGGUUUGUGUCUUGGCUUCCCUUCCCAUCCAGCUUCCUGUUAAUGUGCAACAGGGGGAGGGGGCUGUUGCUGUGACGGGUUAAGUCGCCGCCUGCAGUGCCUGCAUCCUGUACGGGUGCUGGUUUGAGUUGGCUGCUCCACUCUGAUCCAGCUCUCUGCUGUGGCCUGGGAAAGUGGUAGCAGAUGGUCCAAAUGCUUGGACCUCUGUGCCCAUGGGGGAGACCCCGAGGAAACUACUGGCUCCUGGCUUUGGAUCAGCACAGCUCCAGCCAUCGUAGCCAUCUGGGGAGUGAACCAGCGGAUAGAAGACCACCACCCCCCCCACACUUCUCUGUAACUCUGCCCUUCAAAUAAAUAAAUAAAUCUAAAAAAAUGUGCAACUGGGAGGCAGCAGGGGAUGGUCUGAAUACGUGGGUACCUGCCAUCUACAUGGGAUAUCCUGAUUAAGUCGUGGGCUCCUGGCUUCAACCUGGCUCAAUCCUGGCUGUUGUGGGCAUUUAGGGAGUGAACCAGCAGAUGGGAGCUUUCUCUCUCUCUGCUCGUCAAGUAGAUAAAAAUAAAUAUAUAAGCAUUUUUUUAAAGCAGGAGGGGACAUGGGGGAAGCUGAGCAAGCAUUUGUGGGUGGUGAAAGAGGGAACGGCACCAGCUCCUGCAGGGCACGGAGCGUGGGGAAGCAGAGCACGUUCCAGGGGCAAGGCAUCUGCGUGUGGCUGGAACAGGAGAGGAGUGGCGGGUGGCAGAGAGAAGGGCUGGGGAGGCGAAAGCAGACCCUAGCCUUAUGCUAAGGAGUAUGCACGUGUCUUGUAUGCACGCUAAGUACUGAAGCUUUCCAAGCAGGGAAGGAUGAUGUGAUUGGUUUGUGUUUGUCAUGGAAUGGAGAGAGGAUCAGAGCGGAGCAGCCGGACUGGAACCAGGCACUCAGAUCUCAAUCAGCAGCUUCACCCUGCCGUCCAGCAAGGCUCAGCCUAGUAGUCGCCCCUUGUCUGCAGUCUCAGUUCCCUGAGGCCAACCAAGCUCGGAAAAUAUUAAAUGGAAAAUUCCAGAAACA